This 598-nucleotide long non-coding RNA is filed under the name Lepisosteus oculatus (spotted gar). Its description in RNAcentral is "lncRNA (ENSLOCG00000021794.1)". Lineage: Eukaryota; Metazoa; Chordata; Actinopteri; Semionotiformes; Lepisosteidae. The record is from RNAcentral.
CCCCCCCUCUCCAAACUCCACCUCCCCCCUGGGCGGAGCUGUUCCAGAGCUCCAGAGCUGGCUGUCGUCCUGUCCAGACCGCGCGGGGCUAUGGACCGGGACAGAGCCAGCCCGGAGCGGCCGGCGCUCGCUCCGGAUGAGUACGAGACCGUGAGCUCCACGCAGCAGGAUGGGGAGACCAUGGGCGAGCAGGACUGCAGGGGGUGCGCUCUUCCUAGGCGUCGCCGGGCUGUCCCUGUCCUCUCGGCUCUGCUCUCCCUCUCUCUGGCCGCCAAUGUCGCCCUGUGCGUCUACGUGUUCUGGCCUGGACUACUUCAAGGCUCUCUGAUCUCCAGCCCGGCUGCCACUGCAUCGUGCCCGACAGCAGACGGUCAGACCUCCAAACCCACCAGCGCUCCCUCCAGCACGACAGCAGGGAUGGCCACCUCUGGGACAACCCUGACUCCAACGAGCACUACAGCAGGUAGAAACCGAGCUAGCAGGCCGGGAUCUGUAGUCCCCAGGUUGGGUGUGACAGGGGUGAUGGUAUGAAAGAGGUUUUGGGAUGUUCCUUAUUGAUGCUGUACUUAGUAAUUGGCAGAACUGACUCUAUAUGAGC